GCCAGGCAUGGUGGCGCAUGCCUGUAAUCUCAGCUACUUGGGAGGCUGAGGCAGCAGAAUCACUUGAACCCAGGAGGUGGAGGUUGCAGUGAACUGAGAUCACGCCACUGCACUCCAGCCUGGGUGACAGAGUGAGACUCUGUCUCAA
This 148-nucleotide non-coding RNA is filed under the name Nomascus leucogenys (northern white-cheeked gibbon). The record is from Rfam by way of RNAcentral. Lineage: Eukaryota; Metazoa; Chordata; Mammalia; Primates; Hylobatidae.